Molecule: ribosomal RNA, 253 nt
Filed under: uncultured bacterium
Lineage: Bacteria
Description: partial 16S ribosomal RNA
Rfam family: Bacterial small subunit ribosomal RNA
Source: RNAcentral
GACAGAGGUGCCAAGCGUUAGGCGGAAUCACUGGGCUUAAAGCGUGUGUAGGCGGACUUGUAAGUACCUUGUGAAAUCCCUCGGCUCAACUGAGGAACUGCCUUUGAAACUGUUCGGCUUGAGGCCGGGAGGGGGUAGCGGAAUUCCCAGUGUAGCGGUGAAAUGCGUAGAUAUUGGGAGGAACACCAGUGGCGAAGGCGGCUACCUGGACCGGUUCUGACGCUGAGGCGCGAAAGCGUGGGUAGCAAACAGG